Molecule: ribosomal RNA, 481 nt
Filed under: uncultured bacterium
Lineage: Bacteria
Description: bacterial SSU rRNA
Rfam family: Bacterial small subunit ribosomal RNA
Source: RNAcentral
AUUAACGCUGGCAGAGUGCAUAACACAUGCAAGUCGAGCGGGACUGUCUGAGAUUACAUCAAGGGCAGUCUAGCGGCAGACGAGUGAGUAACACGUAAGCAACCUGCCCCUCAAUGGCGAAUAACCAGCCGAAAGGCUGGCUAAUGCGCCGUACACUCCCCGGAAGGCAUCUUCUGGAGAAGAGAGAUCCGCAAGGAUCGUUGAGGGAGGGGCUUGCGGCCCAUCAGCUAGUUGGCGGUGUAACGGACCACCAAGGCUACGACGGGUACCCGGGCUGAAAGGCCGAACGGGCACGAUGGCACUGAGACACGGGCCAUACUCCUACGGGAGGCAGCAGUGGGGAAUUUUGGACAAUGGGGGAAACCCUGAUCCAGCAACUCUGCGUGAGGGACGAAGGUCUUCGGAUCGUAAACCUCUUUUGCACGGGACGAAAUCCGCAAGGUUUGACGGUACCGUGCGAAUAAGCCACGGCUAACUAUGU